This 524-nucleotide ribosomal RNA is filed under the name uncultured bacterium. RNAcentral describes it as "partial 16S ribosomal RNA". It matches the Rfam family "Bacterial small subunit ribosomal RNA", at positions 28 to 523 of the family's 1533-position model. The record is from RNAcentral.
GGCGAACGCUGGCGGCGUGCUUAACACAUGCAAGUCGAACGGACAGACAGAGAGCUUGCUCUCUUGAAGUUAGUGGCGAGCGGGUGAGUAACGCGUAAUCAACCUGCCCUUCAGAGGGGGAUAACAACGGGAAACCGUUGCUAAUACCGCGUACGAUUCAUGAACGGCAUCGUUUAUGAAUGAAAGGUGGCCUCUAUGUAUAAGCUAUCGCUGAAGGAGGGGAUUGCGUCUGAUUAGCUAGUUGGAGGGGUAACGGCCCACCAAGGCAAUGAUCAGAAGCCGGUCUGAGAGGAUGAACGGCCACAUUGGGACUGAGACACGGCCCAAACUCCUACGGGAGGCAGCAGUGGGGAAUCUUCCGCAAUGGACGAAAGUCUGACGGAGCAACGCCGCGUGAGUGAUGAAGGUCUUCGGAUUGUAAAGCUCUGUUAAUCGGGACGAAAGAGUUCUGCGUGAAUAAUGCAGAAAAGUGACGGUACCGGAAUAGAAAGCCACGGCUAACUACGUGCCAGCCGCCGCGGUAA